This 102-nucleotide Y RNA is filed under the name Propithecus coquereli (Coquerel's sifaka). Its description in RNAcentral is "Y RNA (ENSPCOG00000009541.1)". It matches the Rfam family "Y RNA". From Rfam's summary of the family: Y RNAs are components of the Ro ribonucleoprotein particle (Ro RNP), in association with Ro60 and La proteins. Lineage: Eukaryota; Metazoa; Chordata; Mammalia; Primates; Indriidae. The record is from Rfam by way of RNAcentral.
GGCUGGUCCAAGUGCAGUGGUGUUUACAACUAACUGAUCACAACCAGUUACAGAUUCCUUCAUUCCUUCUCCACUCCCACUACUUCACUUGAGUAGCCUUAA